Molecule: ribosomal RNA, 468 nt
Filed under: uncultured bacterium
Lineage: Bacteria
Description: partial 16S ribosomal RNA
Rfam family: Bacterial small subunit ribosomal RNA
Source: RNAcentral
GACGAACGCUGGCGGCGUGCUUAACACAUGCGAGUCGAACGGAAAGGCCCUGCUUUUGUGUGGUGCUCGAGUGGCGAACGGGUGAGUAACACGGGAGUAACCUGCCCUUGACUUUGGGAUAAAUUCAGGGAACUGGGGCUAAUACCCGAUAGGAGCUCCUGCUGCAUGGUGGGGGUUGGAAAGUUUCGGCGGUUGGGGAUGGACUCGCGGCUUAUCAGCUUGUUGGCGGGGUAGUGGCUUACCAAGGCUUUGCCGGGUAGCCGGCCUGAGAGGGGGGCCGGCCAGAUUGGGACUGGAAUACGGCCCAGACUCCUACGGGAGGCAGCAGUGGGGAAUGUUGCACAGUGGGCGGAGGCCUGAUGCAGCAACGCCGCGUGCGGGAUGACGGCCUGCGGGUUGGAAACCGCUUUCGCCUGUGACGAGGCGUGAGUGACGGUAAUGGGUAAAGAAGCACCGGCUAACUACGUG